AAAAUUACAAAAAUGAGCGUAUUUACUAGAAAAUUUAUAAUUUUAUUGGUCCAAAAUUAGUACAUUCGCUCAUUUUUGUAAUUUUUACCCUCACUUGAAUUACAGAAUCGAUACCCAAAAUAUGUAUGUACAUAUGUCAGUAUCGCAUUCGCACAUGAGAUAUUAGACUUUAAGUACGAAGGAUAUAACAUUUUUUUCUUGUGAAAUAAUCUCAAAAAUGAUUUAAUGUUAUACAGAAAAAUUAUUUAUUCGUAUAUAUAUUAUUUGUGGAAGUGAUAAAUUCAUACGGACAAUUAUUAUUAUUUUCUAGUAAAGUUUGUAAUUAAUGUUACGAAGAAUUAAUUCGCACUAUGUUUAAAAUUUUGGAUUGUUGAAAUUAGCAAAAAUGAACAUUGGUUUAAUUCUUAGAUCGGUGCACCAAACAAUUAAUUCUAUUGUUCCAAAAAUUUUAACAACUGGAACUGUUCAAAAUAUAUUGGUUCGUAGUAUCCACUAUAUAUGCGACAGGCAGGAAUUAAGAUACUCAUUGAACAGUGAUUUCAGUCACGACACACCCUCUUUUCUGCGACCAGUGCUACCUAUAUAUAACUCGGUAUGUGGUUUAAAAAUGAGAGGUCGCUUGCAACUUCGUUGCAAGGACUGUUAUUUUGUAUGCAGAAAAGAAAGAUGGUAUGUGAUGUGUAAAACACAUCCGAGGCACAAACAAGUGCAGAUGAAAAAGAGAGAUUAUAAAACGUGGAUUCUAACAUCAGCUUCGCAAAAACCAAUUCGAGGCUGGUAGUGAGAUGUAUAGAUUGUAAACCUUGAAAUAUAAAAUAUCAAUGUACAGAACAAAUAAAAUAUUAAUACUUCCAACAUAUAGCACAUGAAUUGUGAAUGUGUAUGUUAACCCAAAGUUAUAAUAUCCAUUAUUCUAAUUUUAUUUGUGUAUAAGAAAUUAAUUUGCAUAAUAAAAUUUUUUUUUUGGUUUUUC
This is a long non-coding RNA of Formica exsecta, 973 nucleotides long. RefSeq lists it as uncharacterized. The transcript is spliced from 3 exons. The record is from RefSeq and is a predicted model, not a curated record. NCBI's taxonomy places the organism in Eukaryota, Metazoa, Arthropoda, Insecta, Hymenoptera, Formicidae.